RNAcentral lists this ribosomal RNA (589 nucleotides) under uncultured bacterium. RNAcentral describes it as "partial 16S ribosomal RNA". It matches the Rfam family "Bacterial small subunit ribosomal RNA", at positions 355 to 937 of the family's 1533-position model. The record is from RNAcentral.
UGGGGAAUUUUGGACAAUGGGCGAAAGCCUGAUCCAGCAAUGCCGCGUGUGUGAAGAAGGCCUUCGGGUUGUAAAGCACUUUUGUCCGGAAAGAAAUCCUCUGGGUUAAUACCUCGGGGGGAUGACGGUACCGGAAGAAUAAGCACCGGCUAACUACGUGCCAGCAGCCGCGGUAAUACGUAGGGUGCAAGCGUUAAUCGGAAUUACUGGGCGUAAAGCGUGCGCAGGCGGUUUUGUAAGACGGAUGUGAAAUCCCCGGGCUUAACCUGGGAACUGCAUUCGUGACUGCAAGGCUAGAGUAUGGCAGAGGGGGGUAGAAUUCCACGUGUAGCAGUGAAAUGCGUAGAGAUGUGGAGGAAUACCGAUGGCGAAGGCAGCCCCCUGGGCCAAUACUGACGCUCAUGCACGAAAGCGUGGGGGAGCAAAACAGGAUUAGAUACCCCUGGUAGUCCACGCCCUAAACGAUGUCAACUAGUUGUUGGGGGAUUCAUUUCCUUAGUAACGUAGCUAACGCGUGAAGUUGACCGCCUGGGGGAGUACGGUCGCAAGAUUAAAACUCAAAUGAAUUGACGGGGUCAUAGCUGUUUCC